CCUACGGGUGGCUGCAGUGGGGAAUAUUGGACAAUGUGCGAAAGCCUGAUCCAGCCAUGCCGCGUGUGUGAAGAAGGCCUUCGGGUUGUAAAGCACUUUCAGUGGGGAAGAAAGCCUUGGGGCUAAUACCCUCGAGGAAGGACAUCACCCACAGAAGAAGCACCGGCUAACUCCGUGCCAGCAGCCGCGGUAAUACGGAGGGUGCGAGCGUUAAUCGGAAUUACUGGGCGUAAAGCGCGCGUAGGCGGUCUGAUAAGCCGGUUGUGAAAGCCCCGGGCUCAACCUGGGAACGGCAUCCGGAACUGUCAGGCUAGAGUGCAGGAGAGGAAGGUAGAAUUCCCGGUGUAGCGGUGAAAUGCGUAGAGAUCGGGAGGAAUACCAGUGGCGAAGGCGGCCUUCUGGACUGACACUGACGCUGAGGUGCGAAAGCGUGGGUAGCAAACAGGAUUAGAUACCCCAGUAGUC
RNAcentral lists this ribosomal RNA (465 nucleotides) under Vreelandella stevensii. RNAcentral's name for it is "partial 16S ribosomal RNA". It matches the Rfam family "Bacterial small subunit ribosomal RNA", at positions 338 to 795 of the family's 1533-position model. Lineage: Bacteria; Pseudomonadati; Pseudomonadota; Gammaproteobacteria; Oceanospirillales; Halomonadaceae. The record is from RNAcentral.